Molecule: ribosomal RNA, 415 nt
Filed under: uncultured bacterium
Lineage: Bacteria
Description: bacterial SSU rRNA
Rfam family: Bacterial small subunit ribosomal RNA
Source: RNAcentral
UGCCCUCCGGCCGGGGACAACACUCCGAAAGGGGUGCUAAUACCGGAUACGAAGUCUGUGCCGCAUGGUACGGAUUUGAAAGAUGGCCUCUACAUGUAAGCUAUCGCCGGGGGAUGGGCCUGCGUCCGAUUAGCUGGUUGGUGGGGUAACGGCCUACCAAGGCGACGAUCGGUAGCCGGUCUGAGAGGAUGAACGGCCACAUUGGGACUGAGACACGGCCCAGACUCCUACGGGAGGCAGCAGUGGGGAAUCUUCCGCAAUGGGCGCAAGCCUGACGGAGCAACGCCGCGUGAGUGAGGAAGUUCUUCGGAACGUAAAGCUCUGUUGUUCCUGACGAACCUCCCUUCUAUCAACAACGGAAGGGACUGACGGUAGGGAACGAGGAAGCCACGGCUAACUACGUGCCAGCAGCAGC